Molecule: long non-coding RNA, 1428 nt
Organism: Acanthochromis polyacanthus (spiny chromis)
Lineage: Eukaryota; Metazoa; Chordata; Actinopteri; Pomacentridae
Exons: 4
Source: RefSeq, a predicted model, not a curated record
CCCAAAUGAAACUACUGCCCCUUUUAUCUUUUCCCUGCAACGCUAUUGAAGUCUUACUUCAUAUCGAUGAUUUUUUCUCCCUUUUGAAGUGACAUCGCUUUGUACUGACUUUCUACUAAAGAAGAUCAAAAUACAUAUAAAGAAGAGCCAAAGCCAUCAAGCUUGAGGCUCAGCGGAUCAGAACACGGUGGAUCCUCCUGAAAAAAGGGAACUCCAGGAGUGAAUUUCAGCAACCCUUCAGAGUAUCUUUCCAGCUGCGACACUCCGCCGACAUCGCUGAAUGUGCUCAGGCAGGCCCUAACACUGGCAUUAAGCUGCUGUCAGCUCACACUCACACGUAAGAGGAACAUUCUCAGAGGUCAAACGCCUGGCUAUAUUGCCUGUCAGACACCAACAGAGACCAUCACCAUGACAGGAGGAAAGAGAGGAGAAGCAGUGUUCAGUCUUGAUCCACAUGCUGAAAAUAUCACAGCACAAAAGGCGGCAGCAGCCACCUCCAACAGUGACAAAAAAAGGUAAAGGUUAAAAUGCCCUCCAUGCAGCAUCCCAGAAUGUUAGAGUAUCUUGUUUAUUCCCUACUGGUAUUCACGGAGAAUUCAAAGCCUCUGUUACAUCAGAUAAUUUGCCCUUUUCUGUUCUCCUGCCAUUUGGCCCCAUCAUUCUUGGCUGUCUUAUCUCUGAUGGUAAGGACCAGCGCCUUCUUCCUCCAUCUUACACCUUCUGUCUGACCUCCAUACAGAUCUGCCAUCAACCCAAAGGGAUAAAAUAUGUGCAUAAUUCCACAGUUUUCUCCAGAGAACACUGUGGACACAUGGUGAAGUAAACUUUAAAAGCUGGUAGGUUGAAACAUAUUGUUGAUUAUAUAGUGGUUUAAUGGCUGUUUAGUGUUGUAAUUAAUCAUGUUUUCAGAGAAUAGCCAUAUUUUUUCAUAAUGCUUUUUGAAGUUUUGCAUUUGACAAAGUUAAUGGAUAGAGCAAAAUUUUACUAAACUUGUCAGUUUUGCAAAAAAAAAAAAAAAAAGACGCUUACUAGAAGUGGUCACCAGUAAUGCCACUCGUUUUUGAUUAAGAUGUGAUUUCAUUUUUUUUUCUGUCUUCACCUCAAGACAGCAUAAGUCAUGUCCACUGCCAAGCUGAUAUGAAAGAAUAAAUACGACUUUCCUGAUUGUAAAAAGUUCCUUAAGAUUUUUUUCCCCAAAAUUUUCUCAUGGAGAUUUGAUUGUUUUUUACCAGUUAGCAAACAGCUGGUUCCUCUGCUCUCUUUAUUGCAGUCAUAUAUAACAAGAACUCUGGCCUGGUUUAUUUGGUCCAAAGCUGUUAACAGAGACAAGCCAAUCUUUUAUUUCUUUUUGCUUGUUGUCCUGCAACAUUUCAAACGUUUGCUUAAAAUUUGCUUGCCAACUAUAUGGAAACAUGCCUAAUCCAUCAA